GGCGCCGGGUGCGUAACGCGUAUACAAUCUGCCUUUCACAUAGGGAUAGCCCGAAGAAAUUUGGAUUAAUACCUAAUGGUAUAUAAGAGCGGCAUCGUUUUUAUAUUAAAGCUACGGUGGUGAAAGAUGAGUAUGCGUUCUAUUAGCUAGUUGGAGAGGUAACGGCUCCCCAAGGCGACGAUAGAUAGGGGUUCUGAGAGGGAUGUCCCCCACACUGGUACUGAGAUACGGACCAGACUCCUACGGGAGGCAGCAGUGAGGAAUAUUGGACAAUGGUCGGAAGACUGAUCCAGCCAUGCCGCGUGCAGGAUGAAGGUCCUAUGGAUUGUAAACUGCUUUUGUAAGGGAAGAAUAAGGAGUACGUGUACUUUGAUGACGGUACCUUACGAAUAAGCAUCGGCUAACUCCGUGCCAGCAGCCGCGGUAAUACGGAGGAUGCGAGCGUUAUCCGGAAUCAUUGGGUUUAAAGGGUCCGUAGGCGGGCUGAUAAGUCAGAGGUGAAAGCGCUUAGCUCAACUAAGCAACUGCCUUUGAAACUGUUAGUCUUGAAUGAUUGUGAAGUAGUUGGAAUGUGUAGUGUAGCGGUGAAAUGCUUAGAUAUUACACAGAACACCGAUAGCGAAGGCAUAUUACUAACAAUUUAUUGACGCUGAUGGACGAAAGCGUGGGGGAGCGAACAGGAUUAGAUACCCUGGUAGUCCACGCUGUAAACGAUGGAUACUAGCUGGUUUGGGGCAAUCUGAGCGGCUAACCGAAAGUGAUAAGUAUCCCACCUGGGGAGUACGCACGCAAGUGUGAAACUCAAGGAAUUGACGGGGG
RNAcentral lists this ribosomal RNA (819 nucleotides) under uncultured bacterium. Its description in RNAcentral is "bacterial SSU rRNA". It matches the Rfam family "Bacterial small subunit ribosomal RNA", at positions 97 to 919 of the family's 1533-position model. The record is from RNAcentral.